Molecule: ribosomal RNA, 253 nt
Filed under: uncultured bacterium
Lineage: Bacteria
Description: partial 16S ribosomal RNA
Rfam family: Bacterial small subunit ribosomal RNA
Source: RNAcentral
GACGGAGGGGGCUAGCGUUGUUCGGAAUUACUGGGCGUAAAGAGCGCGUAGGCGGCUUUGCAAGUUGGAAGUGAAAGCCCGGGGCUUAACCUCGGAAUUGCUUUCAAAACUGUGAGGCUAGAGUGUAGUAGGGGAUGAUGGAAUUCCUAGUGUAGAGGUGAAAUUCUUAGAUAUUAGGAGGAACACCGGUGGCGAAGGCGGUCAUCUGGGCUACAACUGACGCUGAGGUGCGAAAGCGUGGGGAGCAAACAGG